AGCCCAGAGCCUGAAUCAGUGUGUGUGUUAGUGGAAGCGUCUGGAAAGGCGUGCGAUACAGGGUGACAGCCCCGUACACAAAAAUGCACAUGCUGUGAGCUCGAUGAGUAGGGCGGGACACGUGGUAUCCUGUCUGAAUAUGGGGGGACCAUCCUCCAAGGCUAAAUACUCCUGACUGACCGAUAGUGAACCAGUACCGUGAGGGAAAGGCGAAAAGAACCCCGGCGAGGGGAGUGAAAAAGAACCUGAAACCGUGUACGUACAAGCAGUGGGAGCACGCUUAGGCGUGUGACUGCGUACCUUUUGUAUAAUGGGUCAGCGACUUAUAUUCUGUAGCAAGGUUAACCGAAUAGGGGAGCCGAAGGGAAACCGAGUCUUAACUGGGCGUUAAGUUGCAGGGUAUAGACCCGAAACCCGGUGAUCUAGCCAUGGGCAGGUUGAAGGUUGGGUAACACUAACUGGAGGACCGAACCGACUAAUGUUGAAAAAUUAGCGGAUGACUUGUGGCUGGGGGUGAAAGGCCAAUCAAACCGGGAGAUAGCUGGUUCUCCCCGAAAGCUAUUUAGGUAGCGCCUCGUGAAUUCAUCUCCGGGGGUAGAGCACUGUUUCGGCAAGGGGGUCAUCCCGACUUACCAACCCGAUGCAAACUGCGAAUACCGGAGAAUGUUAUCACGGGAGACACACGGCGGGUGCUAACGUCCGUCGUGAAGAGGGAAACAACCCAGACCGCCAGCUAAGGUCCCAAAGUCAUGGUUAAGUGGGAAACGAUGUGGGAAGGCCCAGACAGCCAGGAUGUUGGCUUAGAAGCAGCCAUCAUUUAAAGAAAGCGUAAUAGCUCACUGGUCGAGUCGGCCUGCGCGGAAGAUGUAACGGGGCUAAACCAUGCACCGAAGCUGCGGCAGCGACGCUGAUGCGUUGUUGGGUAGGGGAGCGUUCUGUAAGCCUGCGAAGGUGUGCUGUGAGG
RNAcentral lists this ribosomal RNA (964 nucleotides) under Escherichia coli. RNAcentral's name for it is "partial 23S ribosomal RNA". It matches the Rfam family "Bacterial large subunit ribosomal RNA", at positions 296 to 1268 of the family's 2925-position model. Lineage: Bacteria; Pseudomonadati; Pseudomonadota; Gammaproteobacteria; Enterobacterales; Enterobacteriaceae. The record is from RNAcentral.